AGCAAAUCUUAAAAAAUGCUACAAGUGAUUGUGCACUUUUCCCAAAAGAGCAAAAGCAUGGGGUUACAAAUUGUAGUCCUAGUCCUCCUCUCCCUUUCCCUUUGUGCCUGCCUUUCCAAGCUGACACACACUGACAGCAGGUGAGAAGGGAAUAAGCCCCACCACUAUGAGAUGUCAAGCACUGGUGUGAAAGAUGCAUGGCGAAUCUCUUACUUGAGGGCAGAGGACACUAACUCUCCAUCUCACCCACAGGCAGGCACCAUGAAAACCGGGCUGCAAAAGUGAAAGCCUCAUUCUACCCUUGAGUUAAAGUCUACACUCUUACCUUCAAGAAGGAGUUGCAAAGACAUUUGAUUAUUCUGCUGCAGAAAGCUCCAUUAUACUUAUGGCUUGCAGUUGUAGGCAACAAGUCAGCUCACCUGGUUUUGGUCAUUUACAAGUUAGUGAUCUAGUCAGCAGUAGUUUUGUCAACUACUCCUAUCCUGAAUGGAGAAAGAAACAGAGUUCCAAGGAAGCAGCUAGCUGGUAGAAGUGAUGGUGCAAAGACUUGAAAGGAAAAGCACAUCGUGGAAAAAAAAAUCAGGGAAAGGAAUGAGAUUAUGGGAUUGAAUGUGUCUGCUUUUGUGGCUUUUCAUCUUCAUGUGAGGUUAGCAAGAGGA
RNAcentral lists this long non-coding RNA (659 nucleotides) under Anser brachyrhynchus (Pink-footed goose). RNAcentral describes it as "lncRNA (ENSABRG00000004659.1)". Lineage: Eukaryota; Metazoa; Chordata; Aves; Anseriformes; Anatidae. The record is from RNAcentral.